AGUUAGUGGCGGACGGGUGAGUAACGCGUGGGUAACCUGCCUUGUACUGGGGGACAACAGUUGGAAACGACUGCUAAUACCGCAUAAUACGUUUGGGAGGCAUCUCUUAAACGUCAAAGAUUUUAUCGCCUUUAGAUGAGCUCGCGUCUGAUUAGCUAGUUGGCGGGGUAACGGCCCACCAAGGCGACGAUCAGUAGCCGGACUGAGAGGUUGAACGGCCACAUUGGGACUGAGACACGGCCCAGACUCCUACGGGAGGCAGCAUG
RNAcentral lists this ribosomal RNA (266 nucleotides) under uncultured bacterium. RNAcentral's name for it is "partial 16S ribosomal RNA". It matches the Rfam family "Bacterial small subunit ribosomal RNA", at positions 90 to 353 of the family's 1533-position model. The record is from RNAcentral.